RNAcentral lists this long non-coding RNA (882 nucleotides) under Homo sapiens (human). RNAcentral's name for it is "non-protein coding SOX2-OT:31". The stretch from base 302 to 577 matches the Rfam family "SOX2 overlapping transcript exon 3". The record is from RNAcentral. Lineage: Eukaryota; Metazoa; Chordata; Mammalia; Primates; Hominidae.
AGUGCAUUUGAAAACUCCCCUUGCACCAGGGCUGACUGUAGCUGGGGGAAGACAUUUUACUCAUUUGCUCUUUCCUUUCAUACAGUCAGCUGGUCCCUCUUCUCAGGUGUAGAUCACCUAUUAUAAUUUUACCUAAUUUUGAUACUCUGAUAAGGAAAGUCCCAGGACUUAUCAGCUGGGAUAGGCCUCACUUACAAGACAGCUCUGUUCAGUAUUUGGAAGAAAGCCUGACAGGUUUCUUCGGAAAAGUGGCCAUCCAUGGAAUGAAUGAAAUGUUCUCUUUCUAUUCCAGGGAUUGCAGUGGCAAAGCUAGGCUAGGUCUUGGAGGCUGGUGUAAGGCGAUGUGGGUGAAGGCAGGAGGCUGAUGGAAAGACUGGGGGGAAGAAAAGCCGAAAUGGAUUCACGGUGCCUUGGAUGAAGGACGAGAGGGGAACUGCAAGCUCCUUCAACUGGUUCUGUCCGGUGAGAAGUGAUCAAGCUUGGGCUGACAAGAGGCUCAGGGAGCCCUCACGUUCUUUCGCUUUUUUACCUGCCAAUCAAACUGCUACAAGACAACACCCUGAUCUGGCAUGGACAUAUCCAACUUAGAAAUAAUGUUUCAUUCAAGAUAAGGCUCGUGGCUUAGGAGAUUGUGACCUGGCUUGCAUCAUUCUAAGACUUCUAUCGUCUGUUUUCAAAACCCAAGGAGGACCUCCUUUUCUGUGUGAUAGUUCCUCAUGCUUUGCCAGCCACUGGGUCUUUAAGGAAGCUUGCCAAGAGUUCCCGGCUGGGAAGGACAGUUCGAGUUCAUCAUAGACAAUGAGCUGGCACCACAGUUUAAGUGACUCACCAACCUGGUUGCCCACUUCAAAAUGUCAAGAACCACACUAUCUAAUUGAAAGA